RNAcentral lists this ribosomal RNA (492 nucleotides) under uncultured bacterium. RNAcentral describes it as "partial 16S ribosomal RNA". It matches the Rfam family "Bacterial small subunit ribosomal RNA", at positions 29 to 507 of the family's 1533-position model. The record is from RNAcentral.
AGUGAACGCUGGCGGUAGGCCUAACACAUGCAAGUCGAACGGCAGCACAGUAAGAGCUUGCUCUUACGGGUGGCGAGUGGCGGACGGGUGAGGAAUACAUCGGAAUCUACUUUUUCGUGGGGGAUAACGUAGGGAAACUUACGCUAAUACCGCAUACGACCUACGGGUGAAAGCAGCGGAUCUUCGGACCUUGCGCGAUUGAAUGAGCCGAUGUCGGAUUAGCUAGUUGGCGGGGUGAAGGCCCACCAAGGCGACGAUCCGUAGCUGGUCUGAGAGGAUGAUCAGCCACACUGGAACUGAGACACGGUCCAGACUCCUACGGGAGGCAGCAGUGGGGAAUAUUGGACAAUGGGCGCAAGCCUGAUCCAGCCAUACCGCGUGGGUGAAGAAGGCCUUCGGGUUGUAAAGCCCUUUUGUUGGGAAAGAAAAGCAGCAGGUUAAUACCCCGCUGUUCUGACGGUACCCAAAGAAUAAGCACCGGCUAACUUCGUG